GUGCAGCUUCAAGCUUAGGACCACCCACCAUGCCCAUCCAGGUGCUGAAGGGUCUGACCAUCACUCGGUAAGAACAGAGGAGACUGCCUGUUACUCGUGAUGGCGUGGCUGCAGCCAUGGGUAGGAAAGUGCUGGCACCCACCCACCUGGGCCGGAGCUGGUUCUGCUCCUGCUACAGGGACACUGAGCUGGCUAUCUCGGCACUUCGGGCAAGAACUGCAACAGGCUCUCCUGGGUCCUGCAGGUGUACAGCCGGGCCCCUGCCUUGUGCCUCAGCUCUGGAGAGCUGCUGCUGCUGGGUGACCUGAUCCAACCUGACAAGGUGCCAUCUUCAGCUACCACUGCAAGGCCCUGAGGGCAACAGCACCACAGCACUGCCCACCCGGCUGCUGAUGGCCUGGUGCCAGCUGGGAGUCCUCCCGCCACUUGGAGGCCACUGAGCCGCCCUUCCAGCCUCGGCCCACCAUGGACAGGGGUAUCCAGCUUCCUCCUCAACCUCGUCCUCUGCCCCUGAGCCAGUGACGCCCAAGGACAUGUCUGUUACCUGGCUCCUGUACCAGCGUGAGCUGGUCAAGGGCAUGACAGUGCUGGAGGCCGUCCUGGAGAUCCAGGCCAUCACUGACAGCAGGCUGCUCUCCAUGGUGCCAGGGCCCGCCAGGCCACCAGGCUCAUGCUGGGACCCAACCCAGUGCACAAGGACUUGGCUGCUGAGCCACACACCCAGGAGAAGGUGGAUAAGUGGGCUACCAAGGGCUUCCUGCAGGCUGGGGGAGGAGCUGCCC
Molecule: small RNA, 782 nt
Filed under: Pongo abelii (Sumatran orangutan)
Lineage: Eukaryota; Metazoa; Chordata; Mammalia; Primates; Hominidae
Description: processed transcript
Source: RNAcentral